RNAcentral lists this ribosomal RNA (450 nucleotides) under uncultured bacterium. RNAcentral describes it as "partial 16S ribosomal RNA". It matches the Rfam family "Bacterial small subunit ribosomal RNA", at positions 354 to 796 of the family's 1533-position model. The record is from RNAcentral.
GUGGGGAAUUUUGGACAAUGGGCGCAAGCCUGAUCCAGCAAUGCCGCGUGCAGGAAGAAGGCCUUCGGGUUGUAAACUGCUUUUGUACGGAACGAAACGGUCCUGGUUAAUACCCGGGGCUAAUGACGGUACCGUAAGAAUAAGCACCGGCUAACUACGUGCCAGCAGCCGCGGUAAUACGUAGGGUGCAAGCGUUAAUCGGAAUUACUGGGCGUAAAGCGUGCGCAGGCGGUGCUGUAAGACAGGCGUGAAAUCCCCGGGCUUAACCUGGGAAUUGCGCUUGUGACUGCAGUGCUGGAGUGCGGCAGAGGGGGAUGGAAUUCCGCGUGUAGCAGUGAAAUGCGUAGAUAUGCGGAGGAACACCGAUGGCGAAGGCAAUCCCCUGGGCCUGCACUGACGCUCAUGUACGAAAGCGUGGGGAGCAAACAGGAUUAGAUACCCGUGUAGUCC